RNAcentral lists this ribosomal RNA (559 nucleotides) under Aspergillus oryzae. Its description in RNAcentral is "eukaryotic LSU rRNA". The stretch from base 175 to 328 matches the Rfam family "5.8S ribosomal RNA". The record is from RNAcentral. Lineage: Eukaryota; Fungi; Ascomycota; Eurotiomycetes; Eurotiales; Aspergillaceae.
GGGUGGGUUCUGCGAGCCAACCUCCCACCCGUGUUUACUGUACCUUAGUUGCUUCGGCGGGCCCGCCAUUCAUGGCCGCCGGGGGCUCUCAGCCCCGGGCCCGCGCCCGCCGGAGACACCACGAACUCUGUCUGAUCUAGUGAAGUCUGAGUUGAUUGUAUCGCAAUCAGUUAAAACUUUCAACAAUGGAUCUCUUGGUUCCGGCAUCGAUGAAGAACGCAGCGAAAUGCGAUAACUAGUGUGAAUUGCAGAAUUCCGUGAAUCAUCGAGUCUUUGAACGCACAUUGCGCCCCCUGGUAUUCCGGGGGGCAUGCCUGUCCGAGCGUCAUUGCUGCCCAUCAAGCACGGCUUGUGUGUUGGGUCGUCGUCCCCUCUCCGGGGGGGACGGGCCCCAAAGGCAGCGGCGGCACCGCGUCCGAUCCUCGAGCGUAUGGGGCUUUGUCACCCGCUCUGUAGGCCCGGCCGGCGCUUGCCGAACGCAAAUCAAUCUUUUUCCAGGUUGACCUCGGAUCAGGUAGGGAUACCCGCUGAACUUAAGCAUAUCAAUAAGGCGGAGGAA